This 74-nucleotide transfer RNA is filed under the name Campylobacter curvus 525.92. RNAcentral describes it as "tRNA-Ile". It matches the Rfam family "tRNA". Rfam says of the family: Transfer RNA (tRNA) molecules are approximately 80 nucleotides in length. The record is from RNAcentral. Lineage: Bacteria; Pseudomonadati; Campylobacterota; Epsilonproteobacteria; Campylobacterales; Campylobacteraceae.
GCAAGAGGGCCUAUAGCUCAGCUGGUUAGAGUGCACCCCUGAUAAGGGUGAGGUCACAAGUUCAAGUCUUGUUA